Molecule: long non-coding RNA, 973 nt
Organism: Culex quinquefasciatus (southern house mosquito)
Lineage: Eukaryota; Metazoa; Arthropoda; Insecta; Diptera; Culicidae
Exons: 3
Source: RefSeq, a predicted model, not a curated record
GUUUCGCGUUUGGGCAAAGUCGGUCGGAUUAUUGAUUGUGAAAGUUAUCGUAUAAAAGUAAUUUAAAGUUGGUGGAUCUGCAUUUCAUAGUUCGUAACACGUACGGUAGCUGUGUCUCCGUGUGGAUUACUCAGGACAAAUUGCUCCAGGUCUAGAAUCGAAGGAUCGAUGGCCGUCUGGGCGAUUCUAUCGCCGGAAUUACGGCGGAUGCUCGGAUUUUGAGCUGCGGGUGUUGAUGCAGUACGUGUGCCGUCCGUACGUUGUGGUCUUGCUGGUGGCCGGUUACGACAAUCAGGGAUCGCGGACGUGAUGUGCUCGCAAGCCGCGGCGAGGAAGAAAGAAGUGACGAUUCUUUCUAGGCCGAAACCAACCGUGAACAUCCACCAGAAGACGAAGCCCAGGCGCAGCCCCCAAGCCAUCCGGCUGACUCGACCGCAUCCGUCGCGACGGAGUCCCAAUCGGUGAAGACGGUGGCGUCGUGACCAGUGACCACUGCUACAUGUACCAACGCAAUCAACAGUAUUACGAAGUUUCGAAUGUUCAUCAAAGUUUGCCUGUGUGCUGCUCAUUUUGAAAGAGUGGCAUCAAGAUCGUCACCAUCGUCGUCAAAAUCGAAGGCAAGCCAGGCACUGUCCCAGUUCGUUGGCAGCGACCUGCCGAAGACAGUAAAUUCUCGUAAAGCUAGAUCCGUCCAACCUACGCCGACUUCUAGAUGCCGGAUUUCUCUAGCUACCACCGGGGCAACGCCUUGAGCGCAAAUGAGACAAAAAAAAACUGACUCAGAAGCCCGUCGCGUUUGGAGCUGCAUUCGUGAGCACGAUUACAUGGACAAAUUCGCUGAUGUUACUGUUGAGAUGGCAACCACUGCCCCAUUACCUUUGCGCGCUACUGCGCCAACAGAACUGUCAGCAGAUGUUCCUGUUUACUUUGUUUACAAUAAAUCUUAGUCUAUUAACAACCGCUCUAAACGUAA